Molecule: long non-coding RNA, 815 nt
Filed under: Bos taurus (domestic cattle)
Lineage: Eukaryota; Metazoa; Chordata; Mammalia; Artiodactyla; Bovidae
Description: long non-coding RNA NONBTAT001813
Source: RNAcentral
GAAGGAGUAAAAUGUUCCAUAUUCCAAAUAAUUUUACUCAGGUUUCUUCAAGCCUUAAGACUUUCAGUUUAAAUUAAUUUAUGGUUAAAAAAAAUUAUAGAAAAAUGUUCAAAACUUUUCACUGUUCUACAUACUAAUUUAGAGGUCAUAAGGAUUUAUUUACUUAUUUUUUCUAAUGAAGCAAGGCACUUUUCUUUUUGGGGCUUUGUUUAGGAAAAAUAGUGCUACAUUGGUUUAUUAUAUUUAGAACCAUUUUGGACAAAGAAAAAAUCGGCUACACGACUCCGAAAAGAAGAAACAGAACAUUUGGCUUUUAAGAACGCUAAAGGAAAGUCACUUGAAAGUUGAAAACUCUCCUUGUAUUUGUGAACAUCUGGUAUUAUAAAGCAAACAUUUUCCUUUGUUCAUUAAACUUUUUCUUUCUACAGAAUAAAAUUAGGAAGGUAAUAGGAAAGGAAGCAAUACUUGGAUCAUGUUAAAAUAAGGACAGUUGGCUGUCAUGAUUUAAAGAUUAUUAAUAAGGGAUCAAGAAGUUUAAAAAAAGAUAAACUAUUGAAUUAUACUAAAAAAGAAAUGUGGCAGAUUCCUACAUUUGUUAAUGUUUCUGUAAGAGGCUCCAUCAUAAAAUUGAACUGUAAAAUUAUUUUUAAAAUGUAAUAUGUAGAACAUAAAAUGAAUUUUUAGCAAACUUUAGGAAAUUCUUUUGUUAUAAAUUACCCAGAUUUUAUAAACAAAUCCCCCCUAACUUGCAUUUUGUUUAAAGUAACAACUUUAUAUCAUACAAAUAAAUUUCAAGUAUGAAAAGUGCAUUAUUG